RNAcentral lists this long non-coding RNA (1411 nucleotides) under Astyanax mexicanus (Mexican tetra). RNAcentral describes it as "lncRNA (ENSAMXG00005021082.1)". Lineage: Eukaryota; Metazoa; Chordata; Actinopteri; Characiformes; Acestrorhamphidae. The record is from RNAcentral.
CUUAGAGCUGAAUCGUUCGCGACUGACCCAUCACUACUUUUAUAACUGAGGAUUUAUUGACAAUUGCUAGAGGCUGCUUAGAAACCAUUUGCCCUUUACAUUAUGAUUCCAAAGGUUAUCAGUAUUGCACAAUGCCAAGAGAACUAAACCUAACAGGAGAAAACACCUAACAGCUCUUUGAGAUCUCCACCAAGAAGAAAAACUGAUUUCACUUGAGGUGAAUCAAUAUCUGAUAAGGAUGUCUUCUGUUGCUGCUUGGGGCAACAACCCAACAAAUGGCUUUAAUGCCUUUACAAACCAAGGAUUUCCAGCAGAGCAAAAUGAAACUCCCUGGGUUCCUACUGCCAGUGCCCCUACUGCCGGGGCACCUACUGGUGGGAUCACAGUAGUGGUUGACACGACACGUUGGAGAGGUCAGAAACUGCCGCUAAAAACAAUCGGGGUCAUUCAAAUUAUAUUUGGACUGGUUUUUCUUGCGUUUGGAAUUGGCUUUUUAGUCUUCGCCCCGGCUGCUCUCUAUAUUGGAUUUCUUAUCUUCAACUGUCUGUCUCACUUCAUCGCCGGCUGUCUAAGUAUUGCAUCACCACUAAACAAUCCCAAUUCCUCUUUGGUGAAAAACUCUAAUCGGUGCAGCGAAUGGGAUUUCGACUGCAGUAAAGUUAAGCAACGGAUUACGGUGAUCACAGGAUUCCUGACGGUGUUCACGUUCUUUGCCUGCUUCAGCUCCAUGGUGUUCUUAGGGAACAGAAGUAAAGGCUGCUGCUCUGAACAAAUGGAAUCUGUUGUCAGUAUGCCUCCAACCCAAUUAGCCGACUCUUCAAUGCCCACUGCAUUCCAAGAUCCCGCCGGUCAUCAGAACUUGAGUUACAGCGAAUUUGGAGCAACAGCGAUGCAUGUGCGCAACACAUGUUCAGACGAUCCUCCAUCAUACGAGGAAUGUGUCAAAACAGACUGGCAAUGAAAAAGUUCUGAGAGGUCCUGAGAUGCCAUGGACCAAUGGGAAUGACUAAAGGACACUGAGCAGUGCUUCAUUAGUAUAUUGUAUUUUGUAUGAUGAGCAAAUGAUACAUAUUUGGAUAGAACACAUUGAGGGUUCAGGUCUAUAACAGAAAUCACAUCAAGAUAGCAUCACACUUCAGGUAAAUUAACAUUGCUGCUAAUGUAUUAAUACAGCAGAAAUUUGUAACUAACGUGUGCCAAACCAUUAUUUACAUGGAAAAUUGCAAAACAAAACAUUUAAAACGUCUUAUUGAGGAAAUUCUGAAAAUAAUGAGACAGAGACAGCUUCUCAUGUCACUGUUGAUUAGAGCUAGGCAUCACAGGGCAUGCAUCUUACCCCGUCUUAAGCGUCUUAAAGGAGUUCCUGGAGGUGCUGAACAAUAGUUGCUGCUUUUAUUUCACACUCUGAAGC